This 466-nucleotide ribosomal RNA is filed under the name uncultured bacterium. RNAcentral describes it as "partial 16S ribosomal RNA". It matches the Rfam family "Bacterial small subunit ribosomal RNA", at positions 28 to 507 of the family's 1533-position model. The record is from RNAcentral.
GAUGAACGCUGGCGGCGUGCUUAACACAUGCAAGUCGAACGAUGAAGCCCAGCUUGCUGGGUGGAUUAGUGGCGAACGGGUGAGUAACACGUGAGUAACCUGCCCUUAACUCUGGGAUAAGCCUGGGAAACUGGGUCUAAUACCGGAUAGGAGCGCCUACCGCAUGGUGGGUGUUGGAAAGAUUUAUCGGUUUUGGAUGGACUCGCGGCCUAUCAGCUUGUUGGUGAGGUAAUGGCUCACCAAGGUGACGACGGGUAGCCGGCCUGAGAGGGUGACCGGCCACACUGGGACUGAGACACGGCCCAGACUCCUACGGGAGGCAGCAGUGGGGAAUAUUGCACAAUGGGCGAAAGCCUGAUGCAGCGACGCCGCGUGAGGGAUGACGGCCUUCGGGUUGUAAACCUCUUUCAGUAGGGAAGAAGCGAAAGUGACGGUACCUGCAGAAGAAGCACCGGCUAACUACGUG